Octodon degus (degu) is the source of this 2541-nucleotide RNA transcript. It is a transcript of the gene named elongation factor 2 pseudogene, with no coding region annotated. The record is from RefSeq and is a predicted model, not a curated record. NCBI's taxonomy places the organism in Eukaryota, Metazoa, Chordata, Mammalia, Rodentia, Octodontidae. The transcript has a single exon.
AUGGUGAACUUCACUGUAGACUAGAUUCAGGCCAUCAUGGACAAGAAGGCCAACAUAUGCAACAUGUUUGUCAUCACCCAUGUGAACCAUGGUGAGUCCAUGCUGACGGACUCUGUGGUGUGCAAAGCUGGUAUCAUUGUGUCUGUUCGCACUAGUGAUACCUGCUUCACUGAUACGCGGAAGGAUGAGCAGGAGUGCUGUAUCACCAUCAAGUGAACCACUGUCACUCUCUUCUGUGAGCUUUCUGAGAAUGACUUGAACUUUAUUAAGCAGAGCAAGGAUGUCUCUGCCCUCCUCAUCAACCUCAUGAACUCUCCUGGGCCCGUGGACUUCUCCUCAGAAAUGACAGCUGCCAUGCAUGUCACUGAUGGCUCCUUGGUGGUGAUGGACUAUAUGUCAGGAGUGUGCAUGUAGAUACAGUACAUCAAGCCCAUACUCAUGAUGAACAAGAUCGACCAUGCCCUGCUCAAGCUGCAGCUGGAUCCUGAGAAGCUGUACCAGACCUUCUAGCACAUUGUGAAGAACAUCAACAUCAUCAUCUCUACCUUCAGUGAGGGCCACAGUGGCCCCAUGGGCAACAUCAUGAUUGACCCUGUCCUUGGUACUGUGGGCUUUGGGUCUGGCCUGCAUGGCUGGGCCUUCACCCUGAAGUAGUUUGCAGAGAUGUAGGUGGCCAAGUUUGCUGCCAAGGGAGAGGGCAAGCUGGGGCAUGUCAAGCAGGCCAAGGACAUGGAAGACAUGAUAAAGAAGCUCUGGGGUGACUGGUACUUUGAUCUACACAAUGGCAAAUUUAGCAAGUCAGCCACUAGCCCUGAGGAAAAGAAGCUGCCCUGUACUUUCUUCCAGCUCAUUCUUGGUCCUAUUUUUAACGUGUUUGAUGUGAUCAUGAACUCCAAGAAAGAAGACAUGGCAAAAUUGAUCAAGAAGCUAGACAUUAAGCUGAACAGUGAGGACAAAGACAAAGAGGGCAAGCUGCUAUUCAAGGCUGUGAUGUGUCACUGGCUGCUGGCCGGGAACACGCUGCUGCAGAGAUCAUGAUCCACUUGCCAUCCUCCAUCACAGCACAGAAGUACUACUGCAAGCUUCUAUAUGAGGGUGCCCCAGACAACAAGGCUGCCAUAGCCAUUAAAAGCUGUGACCCCACUGCCCCGUAAUGAUGUACAUUCCCAAAAUGUUGCCAACGUCCAAUAAAGGUCAGUUCUAUGCCUUUGGAUGUGUCUAUUCGGAGCUGGUGUCCACCAACCUGAAGGUCCAGAUUAUGGGUCCUAACUACACCCUGGGAAGAAAGGGGACAUCUACCUGAAGCCCAUCCAGAGGACCAUCCUGAUGAUAGGCCACUAUGUGGAGCCCAUUGAGGAUAUGCCUUGUGAAAACAUCAUGGGACUGGUGGGUGUGGACCAGUUCCUAGUGAAGACUGGCACCAUCAUCACCCUUGAUCAUGCCCACAACUUCAUGUGAUGAAGUUCAUUGUCAACCCGGCCGUCAGGGUGGCCAUGGACGCCAAGAACCUGGCUGACCUUCCCAAGCUAGUGGAGGGGUUGAAGUGGCUGGCUAAGUCCAACUCCAUGGUGCAGUGCAUCAUUGAGGAAUCGGGAGAGCACAUCAUCCAGGGUGCCAGUGAGAUGCACCUGAAGAUCUGCCUCAAGGACCUGGAGGAGGACCAUGACUGCAUCCCCAUCAAGAAAUCAGACCCCAUGGCCUCGUACCAGGAGACAGUCAGUGAGGAAUUGAAUGUGAUGUGCCUCUCCAAGUCCCCCAACAAGCACAACCGCCUGUACAUGAAGAUGCAGCCUUUCCCAAAUGGCUUGGCUGAGAACAUGGACAAGGGUGAGGUGUCCACCAGCCAGGAGCUAAAGCAACGUGCUCCCUAUCUGGCUGAGAAGUGUAAGUGGGACAUGGCAGAGGCCUGCAAGAUCUGGUGCUUUGGCCCUGAUGGCACCGGCCUCAACAUCCUCACAGACAUCACCAAGGGGGUGCAGUAUCUCAAUGAGAUCAAGGAUAGUGUGGUUACUGGCUUUCAGUGGGCCACCAAAGAGAGGGCACUAUAUGAGGAAAAUAUGCUAGAGUACACUUUGAUGUCCAUGAAGUGACCCUGCGUGCUGACGUCAUCCACCAUGGGGGUGGUCAGAUCAUCCCCAUGUGCAACCCUGCCUAUAAGUCAGCGUUCUGACAGCACAGCCGUGCCUCAUGGAGCCCAUCUAUCCUGUGGAGAUAGUGUCUGGAGCAAGUGGUUGGGGGAUCUGUGGUGUCCUGAACAGCAAGCGAGGCCAUGUCUUCAAGGAGUCCCAGGUGGCUGGCACCCCCAUGUUCGUGGUUAAGGCCUACCUGCCCAUCAAUGAGUCCUUCGGCUUCACUGCCAACCUGCAGUCCAACACAGGUGGCCAGGCCUUCCCUCAGUGAGUGUUCAACUGCUGGAAGAUCCUGCCUGAUGACCCAUUUGACAACAGCAGCUGCCCGAGCCUGGUGGUGGCAGAGACCUGCAAGCACAAGGGCCUGAAGGAAGGCAUCCCAGCAUUGAAAAAAUUCCUGGGCAAGUUGUAG